UGAUCCUGCGGAGCCGCUAUGAUCACUAACAUGCAGUCGAAGCGGCUCGCUGACGGCUCAGUAACACGCGGAUAAUCUGCCCUUAGUGGAAAAUCUCGGGAAACUGAAAUAAUAUCAUAAGUCUAGAUGCUGGAAUGCACUUAACUAAAAGCUUCGGUGCCUAAGGAUGAUCUGCGGACUAUCAAGGGGGUUGUAGUCAGGAUAACGACUGACUAGCCUACGACGGAUACGGGUUGUGAGAGCAAUAACCCGGAAUGAUAUCUUGGAAGAACACGAUAUCAGGCCCUACGGGGCGCAGCAGGCGCGAAAAAACUUCGCAAUGUGCGAAAGCACGACGAGGGAAUCCCAAGUGCUGGCUCGUUAGAGUCAGCUGUUUUUAUGGUUCUAAAAAAAANAAGCAUAGAGAGUAAGGGCUGGGUAAGACGGGUGCCAGCCGCCGCGGUUAAAAAAAAAUACCCCUGGGCAGNCCUCAAAAGUGGUGGCCGCUAUUAUUGGGCCUUUUUUAAAAACGGGGUCCGUUAAAAGCCUGGUUUAUUAAAUGGGGCCCUAGGGUAAAUUGUGUUUUGGCUUAACCAUACGAAUUUUUCUGGGUAGACUGGUAAACUUUU
RNAcentral lists this ribosomal RNA (608 nucleotides) under uncultured archaeon. RNAcentral describes it as "partial 16S ribosomal RNA". The stretch from base 1 to 480 matches the Rfam family "Archaeal small subunit ribosomal RNA", at positions 9 to 496 of the family's 1478-position model. The record is from RNAcentral.